Aegilops tauschii subsp. strangulata is the source of this 817-nucleotide non-coding RNA. The record is from RefSeq and is a predicted model, not a curated record. NCBI's taxonomy places the organism in Eukaryota, Viridiplantae, Streptophyta, Magnoliopsida, Poales, Poaceae.
CUCCCCCCUCCCUCCCCCACCCACCACACCAUGGUGAGGAAUGUUCCAAGCCGCGCCCAAAGCCGAUGCUACAAUCCAACACAAUCAUCACCCAUUGCUACAAGUGAUUUUGCCGAUGUGUCGCUGCUGCAAGUGGCGACCGGGGACGAUGUGUCAUUGCGCAACGUUCGGUAAGAAGCAUGCUGGUGCAAGGGAGCACACACCUCAACAUGGGGCUGGCUGGGAGGAAGCGCGACGUCGAGCUGGGAUUGGCGUCGUCGUUUCACAGCCACUGCGAAGGAGCAUCCAAUGGAAGCACCACCUUGGGUCGCGGGUGUUGCGAGAAAACGUCCAAUGGAAGCACCACCAACAGUCGCGGGUGUUGCGAUGAAUGGGCAUAUUUUGCAACAGGGUCUAACAAGAUCGGGUGCAUUGAUUGUUCCUGAAGAUGGGACUGCGUAAGAAGGCGGCGAUGGAUUCUAUAGCGUGCGAAUGCGGUGCACGCUGAGGGUUUGCUAGACUGGUUGGUGCUCCCGGCUAGUCGGCAAGCGACUUGGUGAGGCCACCGUAUCUCUUGGUUUGCAUGGUGCAAGGUCAGGGUACAUCAUCAAUCUUGUAGAUAUGGUGAUAGUUUUCGUCAAUAAGAUGGAUUUGGGUCGAUCUAUGUAUUUUUCUUGUAAGGCCUUGCUGAAUAAUACAAUAAAGAUUGCUUUGUGCAUGCAUAGCUCGAUGCAGAGGCCAGGGGUAAUCCUUCUUUUCGAGAGUUUUUUUUUUGUUCGUGGGAUCUUCCUUUAUUUGUGGGUAAUCCUUCUUUUCGAUAAAGAGGGAUCUUCCUUUA